ACAAAGUAUGUAAAUCUACGGUCCUAAAUAGGAAAAAAAGUUUGAAAACUAUAAAUCUCCUUUACAUUUUCAAAGAAAAACAUGAUGCUUACAAGACAUUAUUUAAAAUGUGGCUGUUAUCUAAGAUUUAGAGGUAUUGUACCUCUUUUUCCCAGAAACGUAAACGUUUGAUACAUGGAAAGAUAUUUGAAAAUAACUUACCAUUGAGAAGAAGGUUUCAAUGUACCGUAGAAUUUCAAGGUUUAAGAAAAUUCAAACCAGUCGACUAGCUUUUCGUUUCAAACGACCGUAGUUAUUUUAAUACGAAA
Molecule: long non-coding RNA, 308 nt
Organism: Limulus polyphemus (Atlantic horseshoe crab)
Lineage: Eukaryota; Metazoa; Arthropoda; Merostomata; Xiphosura; Limulidae
Exons: 2
Source: RefSeq, a predicted model, not a curated record